GAUGAACGCUGGCGGCGUGCCUAAUACAUGCAAGUCGAGCGAACAGAUGAGGAGCUUGCUCCUCUGACGUUAGCGGCGGACGGGUGAGUAACACGUGGAUAACCUACCUAUAAGACUGGGAUAACUUCGGGAAACCGGAGCUAAUACCGGAUAAUAUAUUGAACCGCAUGGUUCAAUAGUGAAAGACGGUUUUGCUGUCACUUAUAGAUGGAUCCGCGCCGCAUUAGCUAGUUGGUAAGGUAACGGCUUACCAAGGCAACGAUGCGUAGCCGGCCUGAGAGGGUGAUCGGCCACACUGUAACUGAGACACGGUCCAGACUCCUACGGGAGGCAGCAGUAGGGAAUCUUCCGCAAUGGGCGAAAGCCUGACGGAGCAACGCCGCGUGAGUGAUGAAGGUCUUCGGAUCGUAAAACUCUGUUAUUAGGGAAGAACAAAUGUGUAAGUAACUAUGCACGUCUUGACGGUACCUAAUCAGAAAGCCACGGCUAACUACGUG
Molecule: ribosomal RNA, 497 nt
Filed under: uncultured bacterium
Lineage: Bacteria
Description: partial 16S ribosomal RNA
Rfam family: Bacterial small subunit ribosomal RNA
Source: RNAcentral